RNAcentral lists this transfer RNA (66 nucleotides) under Stylodipus telum (thick-tailed three-toed jerboa). Its description in RNAcentral is "tRNA-Ala". It matches the Rfam family "tRNA". Rfam says of the family: Transfer RNA (tRNA) molecules are approximately 80 nucleotides in length. The record is from RNAcentral. Lineage: Eukaryota; Metazoa; Chordata; Mammalia; Rodentia; Dipodidae.
GAGGAUUUAGCUUAAAUAAAGUGAAUGAUUUGCAAUCAUUAGAUGUAGAAUGAAGGUCUGCAGUCC